Molecule: ribosomal RNA, 497 nt
Filed under: uncultured bacterium
Lineage: Bacteria
Description: partial 16S ribosomal RNA
Rfam family: Bacterial small subunit ribosomal RNA
Source: RNAcentral
GAUGAACGCUGGCGGCGUGCCUAAUACAUGCAAGUCGAGCGAACAGACGAGGAGCUUGCUCCUCUAACGUUAGCGGCGGACGGGUGAGUAACACGUGGAUAACCUACCUAUAAGACUGGGAUAACUUCGGGAAACCGGAGCUAAUACCGGAUAAUAUAUUGAACCGCAUGGUUCAAUAGUGAAAGACGGUUUUGCUGUCACUUAUAGAUGGAUCCGCGCCGCAUUAGCUAGUUGGUAAGGUAACAGCUUACCAAGGCAACGAUGCGUAGCCGACCUGAGAGGGUGAUCGGCCACACUGGAACUGAGACACGGUCCAGACUCCUAAGGGAGGCAGCAGUAGGGAAUCUUCCGCAAUGGGCGAAAGCCUGACGGAGCAACGCCGCGUGAGUGAUGAAGGUCUUCGGAUCGUAAAACUCUGUUAUUAGGGAAGAACAAAUGUGUAAGUAACUAUGCACGUCUUGACGGUACCUAAUCAGAAAGCCACGGCUAACUACGUG